Molecule: ribosomal RNA, 432 nt
Filed under: Eisenia fetida (common brandling worm)
Lineage: Eukaryota; Metazoa; Annelida; Clitellata; Crassiclitellata; Lumbricidae
Description: partial 16S ribosomal RNA
Rfam family: Bacterial large subunit ribosomal RNA
Source: RNAcentral
ACAAAAACAUUGCUUCUUAUGUCUGAUAAGAAGUCCUGCCAGUGAAUAAAUUUCAACGGCCGCGGUAUCCUAACCGUGCAAAGGUAGCAUAAUCACUUGCCCAUUAAUUGUGGGCUAGAUGAAAGGACUAACGAAAUAAAACUGUCUUAUAAGUGGCAUAAAAAUUAAUUUUAAGAAGAUUGUUAGAACGUUGAAGGCAAGAAGCCCAUAGAGCUUAUUUUAAUAAAAUAUAAUUUAUUAAAUUCGGGGGGGACCAGGGAAAAUAUCAUCCCUUAAUAGCAGAUAACUCAAUCCACACUUGACCCUUUACAAGAUCAUCAAAACAAGCUACCUAGGGAUAACAGGGUAAUCCCACUAAAGAGUCCUUAUCAAUAGUGAGGUUUGGCACCGAUGUUGGCUAGGGAAUCUAUGCGGGCAAAAGUCACAUAAAGA